RNAcentral lists this long non-coding RNA (950 nucleotides) under Monodelphis domestica (gray short-tailed opossum). RNAcentral describes it as "lncRNA (ENSMODG00000049006.1)". The record is from RNAcentral. Lineage: Eukaryota; Metazoa; Chordata; Mammalia; Didelphimorphia; Didelphidae.
AUCUUCUUUUUUUUAUCAGAUUAACUAAAGGUUUAUCAAAUUAUUAGUCUUUUCAAAGAACCAACUUUCAGUUUUAGUUUUCAUUGCUUUUUAUUGGUUCUAGAUUAACUAUUUUAUCUCUAAUUUUUUUAUUUCUGUUCUUUUGUAACCAUUUUAAAUUUGCUUAUUUAUUGAUUUUCUAGUCUUUAAAAACACAUAUCAGUUAUUUUUUUAAACCCUUACCUUCUUUCUUAGAAUACUGAGUAUGGGUUCUAAGGCAGAAGAGUGGUAAGAGCUAGGCAGUGGGGGUCAAGUGACUUGCUAUGGGUCACAUAGCUAGGAAGUGUGUGAGGUCAAAUCUAAACCCAGGACCUCCUGUCUCUGGGACUGGCUCUCAAUCCACUGAUCUACCCAGCUGCCCCCUUCAUAUCAGUUUAUUAAUUUCUACUUUUUCUAUUAUGUUAGCAUAUAUUUUUAGGGAUAUUAUUCCCCUCCCCUGGGAACUACUUUAUUUGUAUCACAGAAAUUUUGCUGGAUUUAAAGCAUCUCAAUCUUUUCCAAUACUGGACAAUUCAUGGUUUACCAGCUGAGGUCUCUGCUCCAACUGAUUUUUGAAUGGACACAACUGGCCCCUCUCUGGAUGGAGAGACAAUUCAGUGGACUUAAUACAGUCAGAAUAGAAGAGGAUGUAUUUGUUGUUAAAGACCAAAUAACUCCUUUGUUUGAUUCUGGAUCAACAGAAGCUACAAGACCUAUUCCUGCCCUUCCUUUCUGGCUCCAUGUGGCCACAGAAGCAAAACCAAUGUCUGCAGUGCAGCCUUGUUAAAAGAUGCUUUUGUCAAUGGUUUAGUGAAAGUCUGUAUUUAAAGAGAUAUUUUGUUCAGGAGAGUUGCUAGAAUUCAUUGCUUUGUAAAGAAAAAUGAAGUGUAUUGGGGUGAAAAGCAAUUGGCUUAAAUUUUUUUGAAUCAAAG